Molecule: ribosomal RNA, 378 nt
Filed under: uncultured bacterium
Lineage: Bacteria
Description: bacterial SSU rRNA
Rfam family: Bacterial small subunit ribosomal RNA
Source: RNAcentral
GACGAACGCUGGCGGCGUGCUUAACACAUGCAAGUCGAGCGGUAAGGCCCUUUCGGGGGUACACGAGCGGCGAACGGGUGAGUAACACGUGGGUGACCUGCCCUCAGCUCUGGGAUAAGCCUGGGAAACCGGGUCUAAUACUGGAUAUGACUCCAUGACGCAUGUUGUGGGGUGGAAAGCCUUGUGCGGCUGAGGAUGGGCCCGCGGCCUAUCAGCUUGUUGGUGGGGUGANGGCCUACCAAGGCGACGACGGGUAGCCGGCCUGAGAGGGCGACCGGCCACACUGGGACUGAGACACGGCCCAGACUCCUACGGGAGGCAGCAGUGGGGAAUCUUGCGCAAUGGGCAAAGCCUGACGCAGCGACGCCGCGUGAGGGA